RNAcentral lists this ribosomal RNA (674 nucleotides) under Sporobolus africanus. Its description in RNAcentral is "eukaryotic LSU rRNA". The stretch from base 247 to 402 matches the Rfam family "5.8S ribosomal RNA". The record is from RNAcentral. Lineage: Eukaryota; Viridiplantae; Streptophyta; Magnoliopsida; Poales; Poaceae.
ACCUGCGGAAGGAUCAUUGUCGUGACCCUAACCAAAAUAGACUGUGAACAUGUCAUCAAUUCCACCGGGUGAUGGCCAUAGUGUCGUCUCCUGGCAUGGGCCUCUAUCCUUCUCAUGACGGGUGUGGUCCACAAAAGAACCCACGACGUCGGAUGACGUCAAGGAACACUUUUAUUUAUUGCUUGCACAAUGGUGUGAACUUCUUGUUUGAUACACCUUGUGCUGUGAUGCUACCUUAAUCCACAAGACUCUCGGCAACGGAUAUCUUGGCUCUCACAUCGAUGAAGAACGUAGCAAAAUGCGAUACCUGGUGUGAAUUGCAGAAUCCCGUGAACCAUCGAGUUUUUGAACGCAAGUUGCGCCUGAGGCCACUUGGUCGAGGGCACGUCUGCCUGGGCGUCACGCGAAAAGACACUCCCCCACCCUUCAUGGAGCGGGAUGUGGUGUUUGGCCUUCCGUGUCAUGUGAAUGGUUCGGUGGACUAAAGUGUAGGCUGCUAGCUAUGGGGCUGGUCAUAGCACUUGGUGGAUGACAAAUGUUGUUCUCGGAGUUGUGACAUGUAUGGCUUCUAGCGAUAGUAUGGCUGUUAUGACCCAUGCAUCGGAGCUUUGAUUGCUUCAACCAUGACCCCAGGUCAGUCGGGACUACCCGCUGAAUUUAAGCAUAUCAAUAAG